This 334-nucleotide unclassified non-coding RNA is filed under the name soil metagenome. RNAcentral's name for it is "partial contains 5.8S ribosomal RNA, internal transcribed spacer 2, and large subunit ribosomal RNA". The stretch from base 1 to 120 matches the Rfam family "5.8S ribosomal RNA", at positions 35 to 154 of the family's 154-position model. The record is from RNAcentral.
GAUGAAGAACGUAGCGAAAUGCGAUAAGUAAUGUGAAUUGCAGAAUUCAGUGAAUCAUCGAAUCUUUGAACGCACAUUGCGCCCGCCAGUAUUCUGGCGGGCAUGCCUGUUCGAGCGUCAUUUCAACCAUCAAGCCCCGGGCUUGUGUUGGGGACCUGCGGCUGCCGCAGGCCCUGAAAUGCAGUGGCGGGCUCGCUGUCACUCCGAGCGUAGUAGUUACAUCUCGCUCUGGGCGUGCUGCGGGUUCCGGCCGUUAAAAGCCUUAUUUAACCAAGGUUGACCUCGGAUCAGGUAGGAAGACCCGCUGAACUUAAGCAUAUCAAUAAGCGGAGGA